GAUGAACGCUGGCGGCGUGCCUAAUACAUGCAAGUCGAGCGAACAGACGAGGAGCUUACUCCCCUGACGUUAGCGGCGGACGGGUGAGUAACACGUGGAUAACCUACCUAUAAGACUGGGAUAACUUCGGGAAACCGGAGCUAAUACCGGAUAACAUGUUGAACCGCAUGGUUCAACAGUGAAAGACGGUCUUGCUGUCACUUAUAGAUGGAUCCGCGUCGCAUUAGCUAGUUGGUAAGGUAACGGCUUACCAAGGCAACGAUGCGUAGCCGACCUGAGAGGGUGAUCGGCCACACUGGAACUGAGACACGGUCCAGACUCCUACGGGAGGCAGCAGUAGGGAAUCUUCCGCAAUGGGCGAAAGCCUGACGGAGCAACGCCGCGUGAGUGAAGAAGGUCUUCGGAUCGUAAAACUCUGUUAUUAGGGAAGAACAAAUGUGUAAGUAACUAUGCACGUCUUGACGGUACCUAAUCAGAAAGCCACGGCUAACUACGUG
RNAcentral lists this ribosomal RNA (497 nucleotides) under uncultured bacterium. RNAcentral describes it as "partial 16S ribosomal RNA". It matches the Rfam family "Bacterial small subunit ribosomal RNA", at positions 28 to 507 of the family's 1533-position model. The record is from RNAcentral.